GCGGGUGUGGCGGAAUUGGCAGACGCGCUGGAUUUAGGUUCCAGUGGGGCAACCCGUGCAGGUUCAAUUCCUGUCGCCCGCA
Molecule: transfer RNA, 82 nt
Filed under: Planctomycetota bacterium
Lineage: Bacteria; Pseudomonadati; Planctomycetota
Description: Planctomycetes bacterium (freshwater metagenome) tRNA-Leu
Rfam family: tRNA
About the family: Transfer RNA (tRNA) molecules are approximately 80 nucleotides in length. Their secondary structure includes four short double-helical elements and three loops (D, anti-codon, and T loops).
Source: RNAcentral